RNAcentral lists this ribosomal RNA (490 nucleotides) under uncultured bacterium. RNAcentral describes it as "partial 16S ribosomal RNA". It matches the Rfam family "Bacterial small subunit ribosomal RNA", at positions 30 to 507 of the family's 1533-position model. The record is from RNAcentral.
AUUGAACGCUGGCGGCAGGCCUAACACAUGCAAGUCGAACGGUAACAGGAAGAAGCUUGCUUCUUUGCUGACGAGUGGCGGACGGGUGAGUAAUGUCUGGGAAACUGCCUGAUGGAGGGGGAUAACUACUGGAAACGGUAGCUAAUACCGCAUAACGUCGCAAGACCAAAAAGGGGGACCUUCGGGCCUCUUGCCAUCGGAUGUGCCCAGAUGGGAUUAGCUAGUAGGUGGGGUAACGGCUCACCUAGGCGACGAUCCCUAGCUGGUCUGAGAGGAUGACCAGCCACACUGGAACUGAGACACGGUCCAGACUCCUACGGGAGGCAGCAGUGGGGAAUAUUGCACAAUGGGCGCAAGCCUGAUGCAGCCAUGCCGCGUGUAUGAAGAAGGCCUUCGGGUUGUAAAGUACUUCCAGCGGGGAGGAAGGGAGUAAAGUUAAUACCUUUGCUCAUUGACGUUACCCGCAGAAGAAGCACCGGCUAACUCCGUG